Molecule: long non-coding RNA, 2272 nt
Organism: Lutra lutra (Eurasian river otter)
Lineage: Eukaryota; Metazoa; Chordata; Mammalia; Carnivora; Mustelidae
Exons: 3
Source: RefSeq, a predicted model, not a curated record
AAGCUCUGUAUCACUGGUAACAUUAUGCAUUUGAUCUUUGUGUGUUUUCGUAAAGAAUAGAGUAGUGCCUACAAUGUACACCUGUGCAUUACCUAAAGCCAUCCCAGGAACCACCAGUGGUCAGUACCCCAUCCUGAGGAACUGAAUUGCUUCAUGUUUCUCCUAUAAAGUCACUCUGAAAUAAUUAUGAUACCCAUUUCCAGAUGCAAAGCCUCAAGUAAUGUGAUUCUAAAGAUAACUGCUGGUAAGAGUUAGAUCUAAGCCUGAAACACAGAUCUCCUGGCUCCAAGUCCAGCAAUCCAGGAAUUGAGGCCCAUUAGAAGACUGCAAAAUUAGUUGUAUUGGUUGCUGCCAACAUUUAAAAAAUUAAAUAGGAAGUAAUAGAAUAUAGACUAUCUCAGAGUAUAUUACCCUAAGUGAGGUUAAGUAUGGCUUUGUGAAGCUUGAUCGUGGCAUGAAAUGUAUGUCUUUACUCUAGGGGUUGUGGUCAGAUGUGUUUGAAAGCUACUGCUCUGUUUUGUCAUGCUAUUUGAAAAUGGGGCUACCUUGUUGGUACUGCUGUGGGCAAGGACGGCUGCAUUACAAAACCCCAGGGGCUCCUGUUUGCAUCAUCAUCAAAGCUGCCUCGCUGCCUACUCUUAAAGUCUCAUUGGAGCACAGUCAUGACAGAUCGUUUACAUAUUGACUAUGGUUGCUUUCCCAUUACAUAAAAAUGCAUGAUGUCCUGUAUUUUAUCAAACUACCUUAGCUAUAACAGCAAAGCUGAGUAGUUGUGACAGAGGUCAAAUGGCUCACCAGGCCAAAUUAUUUAUUAUUUGGAAAGAAAAUGUCUACCCAUCCCUGAUCUGUGUGAAUGGCAUUCUCUGGAAUUAUGCAGUGCCCAGACUGUGCAGCUGUAUGUGGCGGUACUACAGCCAGCCAGUGGCUUCUUGGCAGCAGCACUUCGUUCCAACUGCUGAUUCUUCCAUUGCAUUUCAGUGUUUGCUUCUCUUCAGGGCUCCAAACCAAGGUUGUGUGAACAGAGAGAGCUGAGCUUUCCCUUGUAGGAGCUUUCCUGCUAAUCUCUCCCAGAACAGCCCUUUCUCCCCGCUCCUGGCUGCCCUCAUCACCACAGCUACUCUUCCCAAGCCUCGGGCCCCCUAGGAUAUAUGAAUGGAGGCCUUUGGACCCUUUCUGUAAUAAACCCUGAAUGACACCCUUAAAAAGAGGAGUGGGGUUUGGGAAUAAUGUGAAAAACUGUGAAAUUCUCCCAGUGUGAGGGGCCCAGCCCAGUUUUGGACAGUGAAUCACGGCCUUGGCCAAGAUGUUCUCAUUACAAUCUCUGCUGACCUCCUUGGAGGAGUGAAAGCUGUUGCCUGCAAAAAUAGGCAGCUUCUCAGCCUCCUCUGCCUCAUGGCUUUGCCUCACUCCCUGGUGGUCUGAUUCUGCAUACUCCCUCUAUUGCUCUGUCUGUCUUCUUCCUGAGCCACUGCUUAUCUCAAUCAUUGGAUACAUGAACCCAAUCUGAAGCUUAGCUAAUACAAGGACUGGAAUGAUGGAAAUAAUACCUUGGCCCCAUUUUUAUCUCCUUGUUAUUUCUCUUACUGUACCUUUUUUAGUUCAGAUCACACCUGAAGUGAUACAUUUAAACCUGGGGCCUCAUGACAAGGUGAACAUCAACCGCUAGAGUGGUCCAGAAGGAAGCCAGACUGUGGUCAAAUCCCGGACACUGGUUUUGGAGGCAUGUUUGAGUGAAUUGGGGUUUAUACAACAUGGAUGUGGGUGAACUGAAUCUUUAUUUGUCAUCAAAUGUAGGUCCUUCAUUUUAUACGUGAGACCAAGGAAUAUAAAGAAAUGCCAUCCAAAGUCAAAAUAAAAGAAGAGGCUACAUCGUCCACUGAGAACUCUGAUGUAAUGCCAAUUAGUCUCUCCAUGUCACCAUGGGAUGAAAUUAAUAAGAUUUCUUUUUUUCCUUUUUUGGCUUUAUCCUCAUUGUCCUUGGGAUCAUCAUCACUCUCAACCUAGUAUGGUUUUCAUAACUAACAUUUAUGGAGUGCUUGCUGUGGACCAGCCACUGGGUUCCAGUUGAGCUUAUCCAGUUCCUUCGAGGUUAUCAUCACCCGCUCUGCUCUGGUUUUCAUCGUCGCUAUCAAGGAGUUGGCUGCUGGUCUAACUGUUGAUUCCUUGGAGAAUUUGCCCAAAAUGUUUUUCCUAAGGCCUUCAGUGCACUUCACAUUAUUCAAUACAAUGGACAUGUGUCAGUCCUCAUUUGAUUUGACGUCCUACCAAUAAU